RNAcentral lists this long non-coding RNA (2673 nucleotides) under Gallus gallus (chicken). Lineage: Eukaryota; Metazoa; Chordata; Aves; Galliformes; Phasianidae. The record is from RNAcentral.
AGGAGAAAAAAAAAAAGUGCAUAUUCAGAAGAGAAUUCUAAUGUAAGAAUUCUUCUGCUAGUAGUAAGACUUCAGCAACUUAAAGCUAUGUUGCACUGUGGAAAAAGUGAGAAUAUUGGCUCAUCUAUUAAGACAUCUCAGAUCUCAGCCCUUCUGAAUGAACAUUGAUCAAUGCUGUUUCUUAAUUUGAUGUAGUCUUUUUUUUUUCCCAUUAUUUUUUACAUACGUGAAAUUGAAAAAGAAAAAUUGAGCAGGAAUGAUCACAACCGAUUUACUGCCCUGGAAGAAGAAGGUGCCCUGUAUUACUUUGAUUUGUGAAAUCGUGCGUUUUAUAAAAAGCCACUUUUCACAUGUAAGCAAGAUCUUUCAAUAUUUCAGAAGACAAUGGCACAACCUCUGGAGAAUAAAGGCAUUGAAAGAAGUAGCUAAGAGGAAGACAAACACAGCACAGUUUGUGGGAAUUAGCACCCUUUACAAAGCCUAGAUGAGGGCAGAAACACACUGAAUCACAUUCUUCCAACGCGAUAAUUUUUACUCUUGUUCACACAACUGAAUAGCCAAUAAGCACGAAUCUCCUCCCGAACGCUUGCAGCCCGUUACGCAACGUAAAUUGGGCACAUAGGUAAUGAUUUCACGAUAUGAAGGAAGAGAAUGAUGUGCCUUGCUUGCUUGCUAGCCAAAAUGCAUUUCUGAGGCAGGAAAUCAAAAACACAUCCCAAGCCCUGCAAGUAGACUGCCCGCACUCGCCCUGCUGCCAUUAGAGGCUGUCAGGAGGCUGUCAGCUCCAGGAGCCACCGCCACCCAAGGCAAGGCUGCCCCGGUGCCUCCUCCCUGGGAGCGUGCUUUCUGAUCACCCUUCGCUAACAGACAGUGAGGAAAUAUUGCACUGCUGUUGCAGCUGCUUGGAGAACUCCUCAAAUACAGUGCAAACACCGCACUGAAACAAAGCAACGGGAGAAUGCUGCAGCAGAGACCUCAGCUGAGAGGCAAGAUGCAAGAUUUAUUAUGACACAGUGCAGAGGAUAUCUGAAAGGGAAGUCUAACCAAAGCAUUAAUGUGUCUUUUCCUCUUUCCUUCCCUCUUCCCCCUACCCCCCAUGUUAUUUUCCUUUGCAAUUCCUAUGUAUACAUACAAAAUUGUUUCUUUUCUCAAGUGAAACGGCAUCUAAAAUGAUGAAGAAUUUUAGGAGGUGACUGUUUCCUAAGAUCUUUUCUACUUGUUUUGUUCUGUGUUCCAGUGUUCUCUACCCACAGGACUCUGAAACGCUGAGAUUUCAGCAGUUCAUAUGUCUGCCUGCCCACCUCUUUUAUUAAAGGGUUGUGUUUCUCUUCUGUCAACACCUAUUCUUUAGCAUACAUCUCUGCUAUCAUUCAGGAAAAUGUUGGCAUAACAUUUUUUUUUUCUUUUUCUUUUUUUCCUUUUAAAUUCAUUUCUGUAGCCGGGCUUUUCCUUUUAAGUCUCCUUCAUUUCUGUCAUCGGUUUCAACCCCGAAGUUCUCACUUUUGCAAGACAAUGCGCUAUUUUCACACGUGUAAAACACUGAGCAAAGUGGAAUCGCAGAUGUCACAUUUACAUGUUUAUGUUUUUUGUUUCUUUUUUUUUCUCUGCCAGUCGCUCACUUCAACUCUCCAAGCCCAAGGUACUGCAGUGGAGCUGAGAUUCCCUGCGUUCCUGCAUGCAGACCUCCAGCUUUCUGAAACGAACAGGGCUCUUUCUGCCCUCUGUGAUGCUUGGAUAAGGCUCUGUUCUCUAAGCUCUUGAAUAAGCUGAGAUACUGCAGUAUUUGCCAGAGGAGAAGGCCACAGCACAGACACAGAGAAGAGGGAGAGAUUGUGGAUGUUUUCAUGCCUUUGUGUCCUCUUGGAGAGGUGAAGUCAAGGGGUGGCUGCUUGAAGGCUGCCCAGCAAAACAGCCAAGAGAGAGUUUGUUGAGGAUUUGGCAACACAGAUAUGCACAACUACAAUCGAAAUACAUGAUCUGAGGAAAUACACUCUUUCUUGUUGAAAACAGCAUCUUGCUGUUUCUAUCUUUGGAGUUAAUAUUUAAAGACUAGAGCUCUAAUACACUCCAAGACACUCUCUUAUUUCCUUUCAUGGGGUCACUUUACUGUAUUUUCUUGUUUAAAUAAGUUGUAAAAGAUGCAUCUGGCAGAUCCACCUUGUAAACUGAUUUUCUAACCUGGUCAUAUCAUUAUUCAGUACUAGCACUAUGUUCCACCUUGAGGUCCCAUAGAAACACCUCCAUGCCCAGCGUUCUGCUUGGGUACCAUUGCUCAGAGACCAUGAAAGCAUGAAACUGGAUACUAUCCCUGCAGGAUGGAGCCAGGAAGAAUAAAUAACAACCAACAGCAACUGUAACUGAAGUAGCAUGGGCUGCUCAAGAAGCACAUUGGAUCCCUUAACUCUGUGAGCAAAUGAUGCUAGUGACCUGCCAGACACAUCUCCAUUCCAUACUUUCCAUGGGACCAGUGUCCCAUCUGGUCACUCCGUGUCAUCCAGCGCCCAGGCAGUACGCACUUUGUGUUCUUUGAACCUGUGAUGCCCAAAGCUCCAUCACUAUUCUGAAGGCUCACGUAGUCCCAAACACAGCAGGAAGAGGAGAGGGAAAAUAUCAGAGGAUUAGCUGAAUUAUUGCUAAUGAUGGGGAAAAUCUAAGAAAUCGUCUCAUAUUGUU